Long non-coding RNA from Brassica oleracea var. oleracea, 1548 nucleotides. RefSeq lists it as uncharacterized. The transcript has 5 exons. Lineage: Eukaryota; Viridiplantae; Streptophyta; Magnoliopsida; Brassicales; Brassicaceae. The record is from RefSeq and is a predicted model, not a curated record.
CGUAUUGCUAAAAAAAAGACCCUUUCACCGUCUUCUGCUACCGUUCUCUUAAAAACCUUUUUUUUUUGUAACUCCUAAGAUCCAAAUUUAUGGUUUCGUUACUCUCAUCUCCACUUCAAUAUCAUUCUCAGUUUAAGUCUCUGUUCCAAUUCUUUUUUUGAAGGAGGUUCGAUUUCUCAACAAACUGAAGCUAACAAUAAUGGAGAUUUCCCAAUUGUACCUUUCCAACUUGAAGACCGGUCGUUUUAAGGACGUGGUGGUGACACGUCUUCUUCGAUUCUGGGGAGUCGGUACUUUGAAGAAAGGAGGCGAGCUUAUGGGGGAGGGUGGACAUGUACCAAAACUCAUCGACUUGAUACUUGACUUGACAACGACGAGUACUUGAAAAAACGAGGCGAGUACGGGUCAAGUAGCGGGUAUAAGACAAUCGACGUUAAUACAAAGUACUAUCACCGCACCUCGGCUCUACACUUUUAAAAAUCUACUCAGUGAAGGCGCUGUCUACGAGCUUAGUAUUUUCUAUAUUGCUAGAAGCAAUAACCACUUCAAACUGUGCGCCUCUCCUGUCUCUAUUCGAUUUACCGAGCAUUCCAGCUUUGUCGAGGUUGUCGACCCUGCGGAAAUAAUCAGGUUUUGCAAUUAUGAGCAGCUAAGGGCUCUCACUGACACCAACAUAGAUUUGUCCGAUAUUUUGGUCAGGACAGGAGUAUAAACACCAUCUACAAUGACGAAAACGAGUCGAUACAGCGUGUUAUGAUCACUAUCCAGCUGGACAGUUUCGUAGCCGUCCCCUACACAAGCACCAUUAAGUUUCAAGUUUUUAAAGUUUUAUUUAACUUGAUAGAUGUUUCUUACUGAUAAACCUCAUCAACCUCUGCAGGUCAACCACUGUGUGUCAAUGUGUUUGAUAGGUUGCAUGACAAGUUAGUCCUCUUGGAUGUGGAGACAAAGGUCAUGAUUGCAACCAACAUAAAUCCCAAAUUAUUGUGCAGGUCAUUUAUUCCUCAAAGCCACAUUAAGGACACACUUCUACUUUUAUCAUGAAAGCCAAACCAUUCAGUGUUUCUUAAAAGAAGUAGAGAGUGAUUCCUCUGGUAUAUCUUCCAAAUAUGAUGGAGUUUCUUAUAUAGCACCACCCAAGUGAUGAUAUGGCUGUAGCUGUUAAACUUUCUAUGGUCCCAAAUCCAGUGGUGAAAAGCAUUUGUUCGGAUCACACAAACGGGCCAGAUGAUGUUCCAAUUAUUAAAGGAUGUCCAGCCAGCACCGACCCAGAGCCUGCACAUACUGAUUCAGUCAUGACCUCCACCGAGACUCCAGUUGAUGAUGAAAAGGCCCCCAGUUCAAAGUAAGCUCGCAAAUACUGAUCACUCCAACUAUGGAGACUUGGAAUUUGCAAAGUACAGUUCCAUUGUUUGUUUCAAAGUUUUAUGUUUUCCUUCAAUAAUGCUGUAAUCCACAUACUUUUACUUGGCACCAAAAUGUUUUUAUGUACUUUAUCUUUUAUUUGGUACAAUGCCAUUUAAAUAGUUGAGUUUGUUAUGAGCAUUA